RNAcentral lists this ribosomal RNA (199 nucleotides) under uncultured bacterium. RNAcentral's name for it is "partial 16S ribosomal RNA". It matches the Rfam family "Bacterial small subunit ribosomal RNA", at positions 328 to 539 of the family's 1533-position model. The record is from RNAcentral.
ACGCUCGACACCUACGGGAGGCAGCAGUCGGGAAUAUUGCGCAAUGGAGGAAACUCUGACGCAGUGACGCCGCGUAUAGGAAGAAGGUUUUCGGAUUGUAAACUAUUGUCGUUAGGGAAGAAAAAGGACAGUACCUAAGGAGGAAGCUCCGGCUAACUACGUGCCGACAGCCGUGGUAAUCUGAGCGGGCUGGCAAGGC